UACGUAGGGGGCAAGCGUUGUCCGGAUUUAUUGGGCGUAAAGAGCGUGUAGGCGGUCAGGUAGGUCCGUUGUGAAAACUCGAGGCUCAACCUCGAGACGCCGAUGGAAACCAUCUGACUAGAGUCCGGAAGAGGAGAGUGGAAUUCCUGGUGUAGCGGUGAAAUGCGCAGAGUAUCAGGAGGAACACCGAUGGCGAAGGCAGGUCUCUGGGCCACUAUUGACGCUGAGAAGCGAAAGCAUGGGGAGCGAACAGG
This 254-nucleotide ribosomal RNA is filed under the name uncultured bacterium. Its description in RNAcentral is "partial 16S ribosomal RNA". It matches the Rfam family "Bacterial small subunit ribosomal RNA", at positions 524 to 776 of the family's 1533-position model. The record is from RNAcentral.